Molecule: ribosomal RNA, 2893 nt
Filed under: Shigella flexneri
Lineage: Bacteria; Pseudomonadati; Pseudomonadota; Gammaproteobacteria; Enterobacterales; Enterobacteriaceae
Description: bacterial LSU rRNA
Rfam family: Bacterial large subunit ribosomal RNA
Source: RNAcentral
ACUAAGCGUACACGGUGGAUGCCCUGGCAGUCAGAGGCGAUGAAGGACGUGCUAAUCUGCGAUAAGCGUCGGUAAGGUGAUAUGAACCGUUAUAACCGGCGAUUUCCGAAUGGGGAAACCCAGUGUGAUUCGUCACACUAUCAUUAACUGAAUCCAUAGGUUAAUGAGGCGAACCGGGGGAACUGAAACAUCUAAGUACCCCGAGGAAAAGAAAUCAACCGAGAUUCCCCCAGUAGCGGCGAGCGAACGGGGAGCAGCCCAGAGCCUGAAUCAGUGUGUGUGUUAGUGGAAGCGUCUGGAAAGGCGUGCGAUACAGGGUGACAGCCCCGUACACAAAAAUGCACAUACUGUGAGCUCGAUGAGUAGGGCGGGACACGUGGUAUCCUGUCUGAAUAUGGGGGGACCAUCCUCCAAGGCUAAAUACUCCUGACUGACCGAUAGUGAACCAGUACCGUGAGGGAAAGGCGAAAAGAACCCCGGCGAGGGGAGUGAAAAAGAACCUGAAACCGUGUACGUACAAGCAGUGGGAGCACGCUUAGGCGUGUGACUGCGUACCUUUUGUAUAAUGGGUCAGCGACUUAUAUUCUGUAGCAAGGUUAACCGAAUAGGGGAGCCGAAGGGAAACCGAGUCUUAACUGGGCGUUAAGUUGCAGGGUAUAGACCCGAAACCCGGUGAUCUAGCCAUGGGCAGGUUGAAGGUUGGGUAACACUAACUGGAGGACCGAACCGACUAAUGUUGAAAAAUUAGCGGAUGACUUGUGGCUGGGGGUGAAAGGCCAAUCAAACCGGGAGAUAGCUGGUUCUCCCCGAAAGCUAUUUAGGUAGCGCCUCGUGAAUUCAUCUCCGGGGGUAGAGCACUGUUUCGGCAAGGGGGUCAUCCCGACUUACCAACCCGAUGCAAACUGCGAAUACCGGAGAAUGUUAUCACGGGAGACACACGGCGGGUGCUAACGUCCGUCGUGAAGAGGGAAACAACCCAGACCGCCAGCUAAGGUCCCAAAGUCAUGGUUAAGUGGGAAACGAUGUGGGAAGGCCCAGACAGCCAGGAUGUUGGCUUAGAAGCAGCCAUCAUUUAAAGAAAGCGUAAUAGCUCACUGGUCGAGUCGGCCUGCGCGGAAGAUGUAACGGGGCUAAACCAUGCACCGAAGCUGCGGCAGCGACGCUUAUGCGUUGUUGGGUAGGGGAGCGUUCUGUAAGCCUGUGAAGGUGUGCUGUGAGGUAUGCUGGAGGUAUCAGAAGUGCGAAUGCUGACAUAAGUAACGAUAAAGCGGGUGAAAAGCCCGCUCGCCGGAAGACCAAGGGUUCCUGUCCAACGUUAAUCGGGGCAGGGUGAGUCGACCCCUAAGGCGAGGCCGAAAGGCGUAGUCGAUGGGAAACAGGUUAAUAUUCCUGUACUUGGUGUUACUGCGAAGGGGGGACGGAGAAGGCUAUGUUGGCCGGGCGACGGUUGUCCCGGUUUAAGCGUGUAGGCUGGUUUUCCAGGCAAAUCCGGAAAAUCAAGGCCGAGGCGUGAUGACGAGGCACUACGGUGCUGAAGCAACAAAUGCCCUGCUUCCAGGAAAAGCCUCUAAGCAUCAGGUAACAUCAAAUCGUACCCCAAACCGACACAGGUGGUCAGGUAGAGAAUACCAAGGCGCUUGAGAGAACUCGGGUGAAGGAACUAGGCAAAAUGGUGCCGUAACUUCGGGAGAAGGCACGCUGAUACGUAGGUGAAGCGACUUGCUCGUGGAGCUGAAAUCAGUCGAAGAUACCAGCUGGCUGCAACUGUUUAUUAAAAACACAGCACUGUGCAAACACGAAAGUGGACGUAUACGGUGUGACGCCUGCCCGGUGCCGGAAGGUUAAUUGAUGGGGUUAGCGCAAGCGAAGCUCUUGAUCGAAGCCCCGGUAAACGGCGGCCGUAACUAUAACGGUCCUAAGGUAGCGAAAUUCCUUGUCGGGUAAGUUCCGACCUGCACGAAUGGCGUAAUGAUGGCCAGGCUGUCUCCACCCGAGACUCAGUGAAAUUGAACUCGCUGUGAAGAUGCAGUGUACCCGCGGCAAGACGGAAAGACCCCGUGAACCUUUACUAUAGCUUGACACUGAACAUUGAGCCUUGAUGUGUAGGAUAGGUGGGAGGCUUUGAAGUGUGGACGCCAGUCUGCAUGGAGCCGACCUUGAAAUACCACCCUUUAAUGUUUGAUGUUCUAACGUGGACCCGUGAUCCGGGUUGCGGACAGUGUCUGGUGGGUAGUUUGACUGGGGCGGUCUCCUCCUAAAGAGUAACGGAGGAGCACGAAGGUUGGCUAAUCCUGGUCGGACAUCAGGAGGUUAGUGCAAUGGCAUAAGCCAGCUUGACUGCGAGCGUGACGGCGCGAGCAGGUGCGAAAGCAGGUCAUAGUGAUCCGGUGGUUCUGAAUGGAAGGGCCAUCGCUCAACGGAUAAAAGGUACUCCGGGGAUAACAGGCUGAUACCGCCCAAGAGUUCAUAUCGACGGCGGUGUUUGGCACCUCGAUGUCGGCUCAUCACAUCCUGGGGCUGAAGUAGGUCCCAAGGGUAUGGCUGUUCGCCAUUUAAAGUGGUACGCGAGCUGGGUUUAGAACGUCGUGAGACAGUUCGGUCCCUAUCUGCCGUGGGCGCUGGAGAACUGAGGGGGGCUGCUCCUAGUACGAGAGGACCGGAGUGGACGCAUCACUGGUGUUCGGGUUGUCAUGCCAAUGGCACUGCCCGGUAGCUAAAUGCGGAAGAGAUAAGUGCUGAAAGCAUCUAAGCACGAAACUUGCCCCGAGAUGAGUUCUCCCUGACCCUUUAAGGGUCCUGAAGGAACGUUGAAGACGACGACGUUGAUAGGCCGGGUGUGUAAGCGCAGUGAUGCGUUGAGCUAACCGGUACUAAUGAACCGUGAGGCUUAACC